UACAUACUCCCUUCGUCCGGAAAUACUUGUCCUAGAAAUGAAUAUAAUUGAUGUAUCUAUAACUAAAAUAAGUCUAGAUUCAUUUAUUUCUAGGACAAAUAUUUCCGGACGGAGGGAGUAGUAA
Molecule: non-coding RNA, 124 nt
Organism: Hordeum vulgare subsp. vulgare (domesticated barley)
Lineage: Eukaryota; Viridiplantae; Streptophyta; Magnoliopsida; Poales; Poaceae
Source: Rfam